GACGAACGCUGGCGGCGUGCUUAACACAUGCAAGUCGAACGGAAAGGCUCUGCUCUUGCGGGGUCCUCGAGUGGAGACCGGGUGCGUCACACCUGAGUCACCUGCCCUUGACUUUGGGCUAACUUCAGGAAACUUGGGCUCUUCCCCGAUAGGAGCUCCUGAUGCAUGGUGGUGGUUGGUACGUUUCGUCGGUUGGUGAUGGACUCGCGGUUUACCAGCCUGUUGUUGGGGUCGUGGCUUACCAAGCCUUUGACGUGUCGUCGGCCUGAGACGGUGACCGGCCACAUUGAGACAGAGAUACGGCCCGGACUCCUACGGGAGGCAGCAGUGAGGAAUAUUGCACAAUGGGCCGAAGCCUGAUGCAGCAACGCCGCGUGCGUGAUGACGGCCUUCGGGUUGAAGACCGCUUUCGCCUGUGACGAAGCGUGAGUGACGGUAAUGGGUAAAGAAGCACCGGCUAACUACGUG
Molecule: ribosomal RNA, 468 nt
Filed under: uncultured bacterium
Lineage: Bacteria
Description: partial 16S ribosomal RNA
Rfam family: Bacterial small subunit ribosomal RNA
Source: RNAcentral